RNAcentral lists this ribosomal RNA (253 nucleotides) under uncultured prokaryote. RNAcentral's name for it is "partial 16S ribosomal RNA". It matches the Rfam family "Bacterial small subunit ribosomal RNA", at positions 524 to 776 of the family's 1533-position model. The record is from RNAcentral.
UACGAAGGGGGCUAGCGUUGCUCGGAAUCACUGGGCGUAAAGCGCACGUAGGCGGAUUGUUAAGUCGGGGGUGAAAUCCUGGAGCUCAACUCCAGAACUGCCUUCGAUACUGGCGAUCUUGAGUCCGGGAGAGGUGAGUGGAACUCCGAGUGUAGAGGUGAAAUGCGUAGAUAUCUGGAGGAACACCGGUGGCGAAGGCGGCAUCCUGGACCAACACUGACACUGAGGAGCGAAAGCCAGGGGAGCAAACGGG